UUCUCUCUCGCCCUCUCCCUCCCCCCAAAGAGGAGGGGGGAGAACCCUCCCGCAGAAACCUAUGAAAGGCGCAGGACAAGCCUGUUGAAACUUGGGGAAGUGUUAGUUUACUUUGUCAAAUAUUUGGAAAGACUGGCUCCGUCGCGACUUAGGCCAAGCUCCUGGUUUUUAGAGGUCUUUAUUAGUUUUCGGAGCUCGGGGGAGAGUAGGGGGAGAGGGAUAAAACGGUAUACUAUAUAUACUGAUAAAAAAAUGUUUAAAAAAAUACCCCAAUCGCUCUUUACACUUGGAAGCUUCUACCAAGCUACCGGAAUUGUUGUCUUUAUCCUAGCCAGAGCUCCCAAGAAGCGCCCUCCUUCCUUGAAGAAAGGCCUCAGGCCCAACCGAAGAGAAAUUUAGCUGACACAAACCUUCCCCCCCCCCAAUCAAAUUCUGUGGGUUUCCGUGCGAGGGAUUUGCGCGCGCGCUUCGUUAACUCUCUGGUCGAAAUCCCCGGGACCUCUCGCCCCUCUCCCCCUCGGCGCGCGGGCUUCGGUCUUCAAAGAAGGGCGCGCGAGGAUGCACCUUGCAGCCGGCAGAGAUUCGGUCUAUUUGCUUGAGAGUAUAAAACCCCUUCGCAACCGGGAAAAGCUCUUUCUCUCUCUCUCUCUCUCUCCUCCCAGGGUGGCGUGUCCUUAAAACGCGCUCGUAUUUUCUUGGAUCGCGACCACAGCGGCUAUAAAUCUCGGAGGCAAACCCUUGGACCUGAGUCAGGCGGCCUUCAGGAUUUGUGUUCCCACGACGCGCCUGGGUCUCGCCUGUUGCCCUCUGGGCGAACCCAAAGUUUGGCUUCUUCGCGUUUAACUUGUUUUGCAAAGCAACACAAAACCAGGGACCAGCGCGUGCUUCCUGCGAUCAGGGUGGCUGCCGUUGCCAUCAGAUCGGCUCCGCUUGGAGUCCCCUUCUUUCCUCUCCCCCUCCCCCAAAAAAUUCACCGGUCCGCGCUGCACCCGGAGUCCCGCGACCCAUUUAGGACAUUCGGUGUUCACUCGGGAAGGGCGAAAUAAAAGGCACCUUUGGAGGCGAAAUAAAUCAAGUUUCCUUCCUUUGUAAUUUAUUACUCAAAUUAGACUACAGAGAUACAGUAACACACCCGGUUAGCACAUUUCACGGGCGAGGAAGAAAACCCCCCAUUUUAAAAGUGAAGAAUGAAACGCCGUCAUUUUUAUAUUCUCGUUUUAUCCUUCCGCGAUUUAAUACUAGCACCUUCCACGGGCCGAAUAAAAACCAGGCGAUCGAUGGGGGGGGGGAUUAAAAGGUGGUUUGCAAAUAAGGGCAACAUUUAACUGUAGAAUUUCGGGGCUUCCGUUCCCACAUUUUUGCAAGACGGGAGAGAUCGGGCAAGACUUCCUAAAGCGUCUCUUGCACGGUUUGCACCGCUCAAGAUGGGCCAAGGACUUACGCAAAGAUUAUCUGUGCCCCGCACAGCAGCCGGCAAGAGAGGGCUGGAAGGCGCGAAAAAAAAUAAAAAAAAAAUCAAAGUCCAGAGGUUUUGCUACCUAACUUCACCUCUGGACUUUCGAUCAGGAAUCUGAAAGGUUGCAAGCGACGCAUCUGUCACUCGCUUUUUUUUUUUCUUUUCCUUUCGUUUUCUUUAAUGAAUAACGGACCUGUUUUCAAAUUGUAUCGACUGGAUACAUCUGCUUUAGGGGGAAGGAAAGAAAAAAAAAACAGCUAAUCAAAGGCAGGCGAGGAGGAAGAGGGUGGUCUGUUUCACAGAAAAUUAGACAGUAAUCCAAUGAGGUCGUAUGCUUUUCUCUUCUCUCCCUCCUUCCUCUCCUCUCCCCCAUUUUUCGCCCAAACAAGCAAAUAAUCGUGCAUUUAAAAAACAUGUCACGCAAGCUUAUGCCACAUUUUCUCUGCAGGACCCCCCCCCCGUUCCUUAAUUUUUCUUUUUUCUUUUUACAAAAAUUCCAGCAAUUGAAAAAGUCUGGGUCGCUGAUGGGAUCCAAACCAAUUUAAGGACCGAAUUGGGUGACCGACCGGAUAACCAGCCUUGCCCUUCAAAAAAACAAGACGGGAAAACCUGUUCCUCUCGUGGCCUUUCUAGUCCUUAAAAGUGUUUUUAAAAGCCGCCCACCCGAGAAUAAAAUGAAAGAAACCUGAAAUAAAUAUAAGACUUGCUAGAAAGUCAACCCCGCCAACAUUCAGCGGGACCUGAAGCUCCCGAGGAAGUACCAGGGGCGCAAGCUCGAAAGCAUAAGGAGCCCAGGAAAUCUCCUUCCAAGAAUUGGUGUAAACUUUGGAAAAUACACACAUACACGAGCACGCGCGCGCACACACGCACACACACAUACACAAACCCGCACGCUGCAGUAGGAAUCUGAGCGCUAUGGCAGGCAGAAGUCUGACGGGCGGGGGGCCGGUCAGAACCCGCAAGCAGCACGCCUGAAACUGACACGGCCGACACGCGAGUAUAUGUCUCUUCGAAGCCUUUCACAGCUAACGACCCCCCGCCCCCCCCCUCGAUUCGAGGCACGCAUCCCAGCGCUCCUACUUAUCCAAGAGACCCGGUUCGCCCGAAAGAGCUAACGUUAAUGGUCGAAAUCACUCAGCACCUCCUAAGAAAAUGUCAGCACCUAACAGCUCAGGAAGAUACAAUUUAGCCAGGAAUGGUGGUGGGAACAUGCUGUUUUAUUUUUCCUUCCUUUUUUUUCCACAAAAGUAGACUCAACCCCAUUUUGGGAGAGGUCAAAUUCACAUAUGUGACCUUGGGUGACCUUUGGCGCUCUAUGAUGACAACAUCUACAAGAAAUAACUUGAACUCCUGAUCUCUUGUCAGGCCACAAGACAUCUAUCGGGUGCAGAGAAACCUGGCAAUUAAUACAAAUGCAUGUACUUCAUGAGAUGGAUGACGCUAGUGAUUAAAAGAGUCUUUCCACUCACGGCACCAUUAGCCCAGCAACCACAAUGAGUGACCGGUGGUCUACAUAUUACAGAUUGUCAAGUCUAUUUCUUGUGACAGUAACGCAUUCUGGAAACUUACACCAGACAAGGGUAAAAACUUAGGAACACGCUUCAGUCAGGGUAGAUUGUGGCUUCUCUUUUUUAAUAUUUAGUUCUUAAAUUACCCUUUGUUUUUCCUCUAAACCUUUGUAAAAUCUGAUACUCAACUCCUCCCAUUCGGAGAUGUAAUUUUACUUCCCAAAACAGGCUGAGAAGCACAGAGUGGCUAAGAGGUAUUUUAUGGGUAAGGCUCAAUUUCAAAACUGAAGGACAUUAUGCAAAUUGGCUCUAGGCAAGUCACUCUGCCUCAUCAACUUCCCAGGAUCACGGAGAUGCUCUAUCUAAGGUUCACCUUCAGCAAUAAAUACGCACCAGAAGCCAGGUAAAAAUAUCAAGGAACAUAUGUGGGAACUCCAGGAUCAUGGGUGCUGGCUUCAAGUCUAGUUGGUUAAUGCAUCUUGCUUAUGAAUAUAAUAUCAUUUAUUUCAUGUAGUUCAUUUAGUGACUGUUCAAAGUUACGGCACUGAAUAAAGUGACUUAUGACCAUUUUUCACAGUUACAACCUUUGAAGCAUCCUCAUGAUCCUAUGAUCAAAAUUCAGGUGCUUGGCAACUGGCUCAUACUUAUGACCGUUGCUGUGUCCCAAGGUCAUGUGAUCCCCUUUUCUGACAAUGGAGAAGCCAGAUUCACUUCACAACUGGGUUUUACUAAUUUAUCAGUUGCAGGGUUUCAGUUAACAAUGUGACAAGAAAGGUCAUAAAAUGGGGCAAAACUCAAUAAAUGUCUCUCUUAACAACAGAAUUGUUGGGCUCAAUUGUAGUCAUAGGUUGAGGACUACUUGUAGCACUACCAGUUAUACAUGGUGGUCUCUCUUAUGCUUUCAGAGCUUGUUGUAAAAUUGUCAUUUAUAAAGUAACAGGGGGAAGGGAUUAUUACUUGUGCAGGGAAUAGUCAUACAAUUUCAGCAGAUGGUUGCAUUUAGCUGACCUUAACCGAUCUCGGAAGCUAAGCAAUGUCCCCUUAGUUACUAGCAGUAGAAACUGCUUGGGAAUUUUUGAGUAGUUGGCUAGGUUGAGAAGUUAAAACAAAAAAUAUAGAGUAAGCAUUAAGAAGAUGGCAAUGUCAAACCAGUUUCAUAACAAGUAGCUUUAAGGAUGCUGUCAUAACCAGAAAGACUCUAAGGAUUCUAUCCCAAGGAAUUAAACUGAUGAAUUUGUUGGGGUUUUUUAAAAAGGAGAUUGAUAGUUAUUUACUUUAAAUGAAAAGAAAUUCAAUUUUCAUUCACAUUUUUUUAAAAUGCUCUGUUUUCUUUUUUUUGUUUUCUUUCUUUUUUCUUUCUUCUUUUUCUACUUAUUGAUAUGUGGCCUGGAAUGCACAUAUCAAAGGCCAAAUCCAGUCAUCUGCCUAAAAAGAUGUUGCCAAAGCCAUACAUUUAAAAAAUAAUAAUCUUAAGCUUUGCAAAGUGUUUAAGCUUAUUCAUCUCAGUACAUGCACAAAAUCAAGAUGAAUCCGGCGCUUUGUAGUCCUCACCUCCUAGCAAGAAACUAAAAGUAAACAAGCUAUUUGCUUCA
Molecule: long non-coding RNA, 4556 nt
Organism: Crotalus tigris (Tiger rattlesnake)
Lineage: Eukaryota; Metazoa; Chordata; Lepidosauria; Squamata; Viperidae
Exons: 2
Source: RefSeq, a predicted model, not a curated record